AAAAUUUUAGGUUAUUUAAACUUUAAACUUUCAAAGUUUAAAAUAUAUAUUAUAAUUUAUAUAAAUUUUG
Molecule: transfer RNA, 70 nt
Filed under: Pseudoligosita yasumatsui
Lineage: Eukaryota; Metazoa; Arthropoda; Insecta; Hymenoptera; Trichogrammatidae
Description: tRNA-Trp
Source: RNAcentral